AGAGUUUGAUCCUGGCUCAGAACGAACGCUGGCGGCAGGCCUAACACAUGCAAGUCGAACGCUCCGCAAGGAGAGUGGCAGACGGGUGAGUAACACGUGGGAACCUUCCCAUCGGUACGGAAUAGCUCAGGGAAACUUGAGGUAAUACCGUAUACGCCCUUACGGGGAAAGAUUUAUUGCCGAUGGAUGGGCCCGCGUCUGAUUAGCUAGUUGGUGAGGUAAUGGCUCACCAAGGCGACGAUCAGUAGCUGGUCUGAGAGGAUGACCAGCCACACUGGGACUGAGACACGGCCCAGACUCCUACGGGAGGCAGCAGUGGGGAAUAUUGGACAAUGGGCGCAAGCCUGAUCCAGCCAUGCCGCGUGAGUGACGAAGGUCUUCGGAUUGUAAAGCUCUUUUGGCGGGGACGAUAAUGACGGUACCCGCAGAAUAAGCCCCGGCUAACUUCGUGCCAGCCGCCGCGGUAAUUC
RNAcentral lists this ribosomal RNA (470 nucleotides) under uncultured bacterium. RNAcentral describes it as "bacterial SSU rRNA". It matches the Rfam family "Bacterial small subunit ribosomal RNA", at positions 8 to 526 of the family's 1533-position model. The record is from RNAcentral.